RNAcentral lists this ribosomal RNA (518 nucleotides) under uncultured bacterium. RNAcentral's name for it is "bacterial SSU rRNA". It matches the Rfam family "Bacterial small subunit ribosomal RNA", at positions 8 to 526 of the family's 1533-position model. The record is from RNAcentral.
AGGGUUUGAUCAUGGCUCAGGACGAACGCUGGCGGCGUGCCUAAUACAUGCAAGUCGAGCGGAGUCAUAAGAGAUGCUUGCAUCUCUAAUGACUUAGCGGCGAACGGGUGAGUAACACGUGGGUAACCUACCCAUCACAGGGGGAUAACAUUCGGAAACGGAUGCUAAUACCGCAUAGGUUCUUUGACCGCAUGGUCGAAGAAGGAAAAGAGGCCUUAGUGCUUCUGGUGAUGGAUGGACCCGCGGCGUAUUAGCUAGUUGGUGAGGUAAAGGCUCACCAAGGCAUUGAUACGUAGCCGACCUGAGAGGGUAAUCGGCCACAUUGGGACUGAGACACGGCCCAAACUCCUACGGGAGGCAGCAGUAGGGAAUCUUCCGCAAUGGACGAAAGUCUGACGGAGCAACGCCGCGUGAGUGAUGAAGGUCUUAGGAUCGUAAAGCUCUUUCGCCAGGGAUGAUAAUGACAGUACCUGGUAAAGAAACCCCGGCUAACUCCGUGCCAGCCGCCGCGGUAAUAC